UCUGAGGGCCAGAGCUGAAUGAAGCCUCCAGAGAGGCCCCUCCGGAAGGCUGUACAUGGAGUCCCUUCACCCAGCCAUCCACUUCCUCCUCUAUUUGCUCGCCUACUCCUGUGUCUACUCGUGUUUGUAUUUGCUGGUUUAUUUUAUCACCAUCUUUACAGAAGACUAGGCGGCCAGCUGGAAAAGCCUCUUUGGGUAGAGAAGGCCCCGCCCACUGCCCGUGGCUCCCGAGGACUGGUCCAGGGCUUCCUCACGAAGGCACUGAAGCCCGGAGGCAGGGACAGGCCAGGCUAAGACGCCUGCUGGCUGCAGGGGCACGGUGCGCCUCUAGACGUCAAGCCUGGCUUUCACAGGCUCUCCGCUGCUCGCUUUGCCUCGACAAGGGCGGCACUGGCCUGGGCCAGGCUGCCCCCACCCGUGUCUGGCUUCUCUUUCUGCCCUGGUCGCUUCGGGCUGUCGGGCCUGUGGGAAGACCUUCAUCAUCGGGAAUGGCAGCCCAACGGCCCCGAAGUGACCCAUCCACUUAGUCAACGUGUGUGCAUUUCAAACGGCCUCGCUCUGCAGUCGCUCAAGUGCCCAAAGUUCUGAAGAAAGCCGAAGCUGGGGUGGGUGCGUGGACCCCUGCUGCCACACAGCUCAGGAUUCCCAUUAAGUGGGGGUUGUCUGCCAAUGCCUCCAACGUGAGUGUGUUUGUAGGCAGCCGUGAGUACUCUCGGGAGGGAGCGUGAGGGACACGAGAGGAGAUGGAGCGGGGAGAGAGGGGUGGAAAUUACGUAUAUACAGUAUUCAUGUAUGAAAUUCUCCAAAAAAAAGUAAGACAUAAAUAAAUACUGACUUCUU
Long non-coding RNA from Mesocricetus auratus (golden hamster), 840 nucleotides. RefSeq lists it as uncharacterized. The transcript has 2 exons. NCBI's taxonomy places the organism in Eukaryota, Metazoa, Chordata, Mammalia, Rodentia, Cricetidae. The record is from RefSeq and is a predicted model, not a curated record.